RNAcentral lists this ribosomal RNA (450 nucleotides) under uncultured bacterium. RNAcentral describes it as "partial 16S ribosomal RNA". It matches the Rfam family "Bacterial small subunit ribosomal RNA", at positions 354 to 796 of the family's 1533-position model. The record is from RNAcentral.
GUGGGGAAUAUUGGACAAUGGGCGAAAGCCUGAUCCAGCCAUGCCGCGUGUGUGAAGAAGGUCUUCGGAUUGUAAAGCACUUUAAGUUGGGAGGAAGGGCAGUAAGUUAAUACCUUGCUGUUUUGACGUUACCGACAGAAUAAGCACCGGCUAACUUCGUGCCAGCAGCCGCGGUAAUACUAAGGGUGCAAGCGUUAAUCGGAAUUACUGGGCGUAAAGCGCGCGUAGGUGGUUUUGUAAGUUGGGAGUGAAAGCCCAGGGCUCAACCCUGGAAUUGCUCUCAAAACUACAAGACUUGAAUUCGGGAGAGGAUAGCGGAAUUGUCAGUGUAGCAGUGAAAUGCGUAGAUAUUGACAGGAACACCAGUGGCGUAAGCGGCUAUCUGGACCGACAUUGACGCUGAGGCACGAAAGCGUGGGGAUCAAACAGGAUUAGAAACCCGAGUAGUCC